This 208-nucleotide ribosomal RNA is filed under the name uncultured bacterium. RNAcentral's name for it is "partial 16S ribosomal RNA". It matches the Rfam family "Bacterial small subunit ribosomal RNA", at positions 568 to 774 of the family's 1533-position model. The record is from RNAcentral.
CGCGUAGGCGGCCUGCUAAGUCGAACGUGAAAUCCCUGGGCUUAACCCAGGAACUGCGUCCGAUACUGGUAGGCUUGAAUCCGGGAGAGGGAUGCGGAAUUCCAGGUGUAGCGGUGAAAUGCGUAGAUAUCUGGAGGAACACCGGUGGCGAAGGCGGCAUCCUGGACCGGUAUUGACGCUGAGGCGCGAAAGCCAGGGGGAGCAAACG